RNAcentral lists this ribosomal RNA (468 nucleotides) under uncultured bacterium. Its description in RNAcentral is "partial 16S ribosomal RNA". It matches the Rfam family "Bacterial small subunit ribosomal RNA", at positions 28 to 507 of the family's 1533-position model. The record is from RNAcentral.
GACGAACGCUGGCGGCGUGCUUAACACAUGCAAGUCGAACGGAAAGGCCCUGCUUUUGUGGGGUGCUCGAGUGGCGAACGGGUGAGUAACACGUGAGUAACCUGCCCUUGACUUUGGGAUAACUUCAGGGAACUGGGGCUAAUACCGGAUAGGAGCUCCUGCUGCAUGGUGGGGGUUGGAAAGUUUCGGCGGUUGGGGAUGGACUCGCGGCUUAUCAGCUUGUUGGUGGGGUAGUGGCUUACCAAGGCUUUGACGGGUAGCCGGCCUGAGAGGGUGACCGGCCACAUUGGGACUGAGAUACGGCCCAGGCUCCUACGGGAGGCAGCAGUGGGGAAUAUUGCACAAUGGGCGGAAGCCUGAUGCAGCAACGCCGCGUGCGGGAUGACGGCCUUCGGGUUGUAAACCGCUUUCGCCUGUGACGAAGCGUGAGUGACGGUAAUGGGUAAAGAAGCACCGGCUAACUACGUG